GUGCUUGCUUCAACGGCACAUAUACUAAAGUUGGAAUGAUAACAGAGAUUAGCAUGGCCUCUGUGUGAAGAUGGCAUGCAAAUUCAUAAAGUGUUUAAUAUUUUA
Microtus ochrogaster (prairie vole) is the source of this 105-nucleotide small nuclear RNA. Lineage: Eukaryota; Metazoa; Chordata; Mammalia; Rodentia; Cricetidae. The record is from Ensembl.